This 843-nucleotide long non-coding RNA is filed under the name Rattus norvegicus (Norway rat). Its description in RNAcentral is "long non-coding RNA NONRATT031561". The record is from RNAcentral. Lineage: Eukaryota; Metazoa; Chordata; Mammalia; Rodentia; Muridae.
UCAGAGGUGGGGUGGCCAAGUGUGGUGGCACUUGCCUGUAAUCCGAGCACCUGGGAGGCUGAAGCGGGCUCACCAAGUCUGCGGCUGCAGGGUUAGCUGAGGGUAAACCUAAGCAGUGUAUUGAGACCCUGCCUCGAAAAGGCAUCAAGAGAAGGGGGAAGGGAGAGAAUGGUGGAAUUAGGGGUAACAUGACCCCUUUCCACGUUUAUCUGCCAGGAAACAUGCCUUUUGCAGUGGUAACCAGAAAGAAUGGCUAUCACCAUACCCUUCCCCUAAGUUCAUCCCCACGAACUCCUCCAGGUUGCCCUGGGUGCUGUCAUGUGGGUCUAAAGGCAGAAAAGUGGUGUCUCCAGGAGGGCAGGUGUAAAGGAAACAGCUUGAAGAAGGUUGGGAUCAUCAAGAAGAAAGCCACCAAGCUGGCAUGGUAAGUAGAGGCCCAGCCCCAGCUGCUCAGGGUCACUUCCAGGGCUGGUGCAACUCAGCAUCCUGAGCUCCUAGGAGGACAGAGCCCGGCGUUGCCCUCUGAAGUAAACUGAUAGAAACAUUUGACACCAACUCAACCCUGGCUAGGGCUCAAAGCCACUCUACAUGUCUCCAUCCUAGUUAUCAAUGGGAUAAGUAACAGCUCAGGAGACUUUGGCAGUGCCAGAACUACUCAUUCAUUCCCGCCAACCUCACUCCCACCAUCCUCCACUCCCACCCUUGGGCCCUCCUGAUGCCCAAAGGUGGCUUAGACUUCAAGUUAAGAGUGCCUCUGUUGAGAAGCCCUCCCGGAUCUCCCAUCCUAAGCAGAGUGAGUUGACAGCCUUUCAUGAGCUUGGUCUGCCACUGUCACUGUUUCAU